UGGAGAAUAUUGGACAAUGGGCGAAAGCCUGAUCCAGCCAUGCCGCGUGUGUGAAGAAGGUCUUCGGAUUGUAAAGCACUUUAAGUUGGGAGGAAGGGCAUUAACCUAAUACGUUAGUGUUUUGACGUUACCGACAGAAUAAGCACCGGCUAACUCUGUGCCAGCAGCCGCGGUAAUACAGAGGGUGCAAGCGUUAAUCGGAAUUACUGGGCGUAAAGCGCGCGUAGGUGGUUUGUUAAGUUGGAUGUGAAAUCCCCGGGCUCAACCUGGGAACUGCAUUCAAAACUGACUGACUAGAGUAUGGUAGAGGGUGGUGGAAUUUCCUGUGUAGCGGUGAAAUGCGUAGAUAUAGGAAGGAACACCAGUGGCGAAGGCGACCACCUGGACUAAUACUGACACUGAGGUGCGAAAGCGUGGGGAGCAAACA
This 427-nucleotide ribosomal RNA is filed under the name uncultured bacterium. Its description in RNAcentral is "partial 16S ribosomal RNA". It matches the Rfam family "Bacterial small subunit ribosomal RNA", at positions 355 to 774 of the family's 1533-position model. The record is from RNAcentral.